This 253-nucleotide ribosomal RNA is filed under the name uncultured bacterium. RNAcentral describes it as "partial 16S ribosomal RNA". It matches the Rfam family "Bacterial small subunit ribosomal RNA", at positions 524 to 776 of the family's 1533-position model. The record is from RNAcentral.
UACGGGGGGUGCGAGCGUUGUCCGGAAUCACUGGGCGUAAAGGGCGCGUAGGUGGCGUCGUAAGUCUGUGGUGAAAGCCCGGAGCUCAACUCCGGGUCUGCCGCGGAUACUGCGAGGCUUGAGUGCUGUAGAGGGGGGUAGAAUGCCGGGUGUAGCGGUGAAAUGCGUAGAGAUUGGGUGGAACACCGGUGGCGAAGGCGGCUAUCUGGCUCACAACUGACGAUCAGGCACGAAAGCGUGGGGAGCAAACAGG